AUUAUUAAUGAAACUUUUGUUGGGCAUAAUGACAUCCAAUUUAGUACAUUACAAAAUUAAACUGAUAUAUUGUAGAUUUAUUAUAUUGUUAUUUUCUCUGGAAACCUCAUAGGCAACAAGCUGAGGUCAGAACUGAGAACUGAACAUAUGAGAUAGAGGCAUGAUUUAUUUUAAUAUAAUAUUUUUAUUUCUGUAUGAUCUCCAUUGUGAAUCUCUUGGCAUGGAGACAGAUCACAGAAAGAGAAAACAGACCUAUUUAUACUUCAGGACUGAAAUUAAUGUCUUUGGAACAUUCGUCUCAUUCUCUGUUUGUGUAACUGAUAACAGUCCAAUAUACAGCUGUGCUCGAGCAAACAUCGUGAUGUCACCGCGCCUGCGACCGCAAUGAAAUAACCACCGGUUACUUUAUGAAAAUAUCACUGCAAGAACAACACAUUAACAUCGGUGGAGACCUAAAGAAGUGUACAGUACAAGCAUCAUUGAAAACAAUGGAGGCUUAAAGGGGUGUUCCAUGAACAGCAUUUAUCGCCUAUUCUCUGGACUACUACAAUGGGGCUUCUCAUGCCUUCAUCCUGGAGGCGUUUGAAUGGCGAAAUGGUCACAUACGCAUCCUGCUGCUCCAUUCAACCUGUAUGAAAAUUUUGCAUGACCCGACUGCUAAGAACCCAACAAGUAUCCGUCUUGUAUCAUUACUGGAAAGCACUUGGUAACGUAAACUGAAAAUUGUCAUUAAAACUCCCGAAAAAGUU
Molecule: long non-coding RNA, 749 nt
Organism: Bufo bufo (common toad)
Lineage: Eukaryota; Metazoa; Chordata; Amphibia; Anura; Bufonidae
Exons: 2
Source: RefSeq, a predicted model, not a curated record